Molecule: long non-coding RNA, 277 nt
Filed under: Homo sapiens (human)
Lineage: Eukaryota; Metazoa; Chordata; Mammalia; Primates; Hominidae
Description: non-protein coding UCHL1-AS1:3
Source: RNAcentral
CUGGAAUCAAGAAGUGAGGAGGCCAGAUGAGGAAACUGAGGGGUGAAGAGUUUAAGUCGUCUGCCCAAAACUAGCAGUGGGAGAGUGAUGCAGCCAGGAUUUAAACCCAGGUAGCCCAAAUACGGCAUCUACAAUCUAUCUCAAAUCUAUGGCAUCACAGAUGAGCUGGUGUCCACCUUUCCCUGAAGGAGUUGAAGGAGCUUUUAUAGAAGAAGUGAUAUCUGAACUGGACCUUAGAGAGUAAGUAAAAUUCUGCCAGAUAAAGAAUAUGUAAAAG